This 2925-nucleotide long non-coding RNA is filed under the name Gossypium barbadense (sea-island cotton). Its description in RNAcentral is "long non-coding RNA (GBAR_LNC015846)". The record is from RNAcentral. Lineage: Eukaryota; Viridiplantae; Streptophyta; Magnoliopsida; Malvales; Malvaceae.
UUGUAGUAGUGGAUGAACAACUGUGAAGAGCCAUAGAAUUUUUUUUUUCUAAGGAUAAGCUUCGAUGACGGAUUGAACUGCACGUAUAGGUUUAACGUUGAAUCGUGUAAAACCAGAUUGUCGAAGAACAUAGCUCCAUUCCUUUAAGGUCCUCUCUUUCCCUUUAUUAGUAACACCCAUCAUCGUCAUGUCUAGCAUCAACCCUACGCCACCUAGCUCGUCGCCUUCUUUAUCUUCUUCAAGAACUGCUUCAACGAUUAUAACCUUCCCUUUAUCUUCUGGAAUGGCUUCUCGACAUUUUUUUAGGAUUUUAAUGCAUUCCUCGUCGUCCCAAUCAUGCAAUACCCACUGCAAUGUGCCAUGUAUGGAUUAAUCGUAUAAGACCAUAUAAUGAAGGGAAAGAAAGUACUAACCAUGAAAAACGCUGCGUCGGCAUUUGGGAUAGACAUGAACAUGUCUCCUCCUACGUUUUCAAUGCUAUCGGAUUUUGCUGAAACGGCGACGACAUGAGGGAGAUCAAAGUUGAUGCCUCGAAUCCAUGGGAAUGCCUUGACUAAAAGGCUCAAAGCAGUCCCGUUACCACCACCGACAUCGACCAGGCUUUCGACUCCAUCAAACACUUCGGGACAUCCUUCGAUUGUCGCCUGCACCGUCAGUCUAGCAUCGCAACCCAUGGCGUUGUUAAAGAGUUCUCUAAAGUCGGGGUUCGCCUCGGCGUAGCUCCAUAGAUCUUUCCCAUUUGCUACUUCAAAUGGUGAGAUAUUAUUGCCGGUUUCAAGGACUCGAGCACUAAGACUAUGCCAGGGUGCUAAGCCAGUCGGGCUGGACAUGAGCAAUAUGAAAAGCAGCCAUGGAUUUUUCUCCACCUUUUAUCAAAUGACGGGACAAUGGCGUCGAUGAGAAGCCUACGGUGUGUUGGUUGAUGGGUUCUUGUUUGAAUAUUCGGUCGUGGACCAUGAACCUCAUAAUGCGAUAAAGACGUGACGGUUCGCAUCGGAGGGCAGUGGCUAGCUCGGAGAGUGGCAUAGGGCUUCCAUAGUUUUCAAUAACGUCGGCAAUUCCAAGCUCAAUGGCACAUUUAACGACAGCUAUUUUAACAUAUCCUAACACAUAAUUCCAAAUCUUUAUUUCAGCUCUAGCUUCUUCCUCUAUUGUCACUUCCAUAUCUCCUAUCUCAACUUUUUCUUUUAAAAUUUUGUUAUUUUAGAACUUUUGGUAACUCUAUGCCCAAAUCUUGACUAUGAAGCUACGAUUUAUAGAAGCAAAGGUAUUGGUUUGAACUAGGUCACAGUUCUUGAAUUUGAAAAUAUCUUGUCAAAUAUGCUCCUAACCACAAAACAAUUAUUAGAUUAAUUUGGUAAAAAAAUUACAGUCCAAUUAUUUGAGGUGUACCAAAUAGUAUAUGUAACUUAGAUUUUGGUUAACUUUUACCAUAGUACUUCAAUAGCAAUUUAUAAAUUUAAUCUUUAUAUUUUUUUAUUGAUUAAUUUCUAUCACAUUUCAAAAAUCGAGCUAAAAAAAAUUGGAUUAAUGGAUCAAGAAUUAACACGUCAUGACUUUUAAUUAAAACUUUGUAAAAUUAUGAUAAAAAUGAAUUAUCAACUAAGAAGAGAGUCUAAUUGACUUAGAGACUUGAGUUAUGUUUCGUGGGAUAUUCUCACAUUUUUCUGCCAUUCACUUCUACUUUAUUUAUGUGGUAAUGGGUGUAUGUGUGUGAUAGUGGGAUUGAUGGGUUUUUUUAACCAACUUUAUUCAGGAUCUUUCAUUUUUUGGACACUUUUACCCAAAAUCAGACACAGCUCAUCAUCUCAUAUUAUCUAAAAUUGUGUGGUAUAUAUGUUUAUAGGGUCAACUCAAAAAAUAUUUUAAGAAAAUAAUAAUAAUUUUCGAAAAAUAAAAAUACAAUUUUAUAAAUUAUUGUUAUUUUAUCUUUUUUUUUCGUGUUUGUCUUCGUCCAUAAUGUUUAUCGAUGCUUAUCAGAUUAUUUACCCUAAAUAUUUAUUGUCACUCUUCCAGUAUAAGACUUAUUUCAUUCGAACUUUAAUUGGUUAAAACUUAAAAUGAAAUAUUAUUAUAUUAGAGAGAUUUAUUAUUGUUUAAAUUUGAAUAUAUUUUAAUUUUUAAUCUAUUAUAUUUUUGAAUUGAUUUAUUCUAAUUCUAAUUGAUCAAAUAUGUAUUAUUUGUAACUUUUACUAAAAUUUUUUUAAUACGAUACAUUAUGUUCGUACCCUUUAAAAUUUUUUUGAAAAAUUUUAAAAAUAGAAUAUAGUAUAAUCAAGUACGACCACGUAUGUAUGAUGAUAUAUAAGGAAUUAUAAAGUUGAAUUAAACUAAUAUAAACUGCAAAUAAAUUAAGAAUCGGAAUAAUUUGAACUAAAAACGACGUAGAACAAUUGUGCAGGAAGAGAUUCAGACUUUAGUACACAAAAUCUAAGACCUUGACCUUUAUCAACAACUUCGAAACUUACUUUAUCCGGAUCAAAAUAACAAUCAUAUUUUAAUUGUUUUUUGCAUUCAAUCAAAAAUUAUUCCAGAGAUAGAAUUGAAGAUUGAAAUAAUUAUUGAACAAAGGGAAUUACUAAACGAAGAGCAAGACUGAAACAUUUCUCAUGCAACAAAGUUUUAAUUGUUUUGUAGAAGUGGAUGAACGACUGUGAAGAGCCAUAGAUGUUGUUUUCUAAGGAUAACCCUCGAUGACGGAUUGAACUGCACGUAUGGGAUUAACAGUGAAUCAUUUAAAACCAGAUUGUCGAAGAACAUAGCUCCAUUCCUUUAAGGUCCUCUCUUUCCCUUUAUCAAUAUGAGCCAUCAUCGCCAUGUCUAGCAUCAACCCCACGAAACCUAGCUCGUCGUCUUCUUUAUCUUCUUCAAGAGCUGCUUCAACGAUUAUAACCUUCCCUUUAUCUUCUGGAAUGGCUUCUCGAC